CUACGGGUGGCUGCAGUGGGGAAUAUUGCACAAUGGAGGAAACUCUGAUGCAGCAACGCCGCGUGGAGGAUGACACUUUUCGGUGUGUAAACUCCUUUUAUAUGUCAAGAAAAUGACGGUAGCAUAUGAAUAAGCGCCGGCUAACUCCGUGCCAGCAGCCGCGGUAAUACGGAGGGCGCAAGCGUUACUCGGAAUCACUGGGCGUAAAGAGCGUGUAGGCGGAUUAAAAAGUCAGAAGUGAAAUCCUAUAGCUUAACUAUAGAACUGCUUCUGAAACUCUUAAUCUAGAAUAUGGGAGAGGUAGAUGGAAUUUCUGGUGUAGGGGUAAAAUCCGUAGAGAUCAGAAGGAAUACCGAUUGCGAAGGCGAUCUACUAGAACAUUAUUGACGCUGAGACGCGAAAGCGUGGGGAGCAAACAGGAUUAGAUACCCCGGUAGUC
RNAcentral lists this ribosomal RNA (439 nucleotides) under uncultured bacterium. Its description in RNAcentral is "partial 16S ribosomal RNA". It matches the Rfam family "Bacterial small subunit ribosomal RNA", at positions 339 to 795 of the family's 1533-position model. The record is from RNAcentral.